GGCCUUAUAGUUUAAUUAAAACUUUAAAUUGCAAAUUUAAGAAUACAUGUUGUUUAGGCUU
This 61-nucleotide transfer RNA is filed under the name Sepioloidea lineolata. Its description in RNAcentral is "tRNA-Cys". Lineage: Eukaryota; Metazoa; Mollusca; Cephalopoda; Sepiida; Sepiadariidae. The record is from RNAcentral.